UAUAUAUUAUAUAUUAAUCGGACGAUGACAGAACAAUUACUCAAGGUGGGAACACUGCAAUCGCCAACCAGGAGAUUGAAAAAAACGAGAAAUAGGAACUAAUCUUUUUGUUUCCUUCAUGUCCAAUGUUUUGUUCGUAAAGUGAUUUGGUGCGAAUUUGAAUCAGUUAUUCUACUUUAGGUGGACGAGCCAUACAAAGAAGUGGAGAUGGAAGAAGCGGUUCCGAGCCUAGAGCAUAAAGCAUAAACAGUCAGCAGAAGCACGAGGUGAUGGUGACCAGGGUGAGUGGAUAACCUGAAGCAUAGACGACUGGUGUACGUGUAAUGAUGGCAGCGCAGUGAAGAAAAUCUAUGCAGUAGGUGGACCAUUAACCUUGAAGGUUUGUAGACUGAUCAA
This is a long non-coding RNA of Homalodisca vitripennis (glassy-winged sharpshooter), 396 nucleotides long. RefSeq lists it as uncharacterized. Lineage: Eukaryota; Metazoa; Arthropoda; Insecta; Hemiptera; Cicadellidae. The transcript has 2 exons. The record is from RefSeq and is a predicted model, not a curated record.